Molecule: long non-coding RNA, 1357 nt
Organism: Siniperca chuatsi (mandarin fish)
Lineage: Eukaryota; Metazoa; Chordata; Actinopteri; Centrarchiformes; Sinipercidae
Exons: 2
Source: RefSeq, a predicted model, not a curated record
GAAAGAAAAGACCAAGCAGAGGUAGAGGAGGAAAAACAAAACAAUUAGGCUGUCACUACGAGCAACACCUUUCACAUAUAUGUAGUCAUUUGACCCACUGUUCAUAAAAACUUUGGUUGAAGAGAUCUUCAUACAUUUAAAUCAUGAAAUAUAUUUUCCCACUAUCAAUAUCAAACAUAUUAAGGGUCAAUCAAUCAUUAUUCAUUAAUAUAUCGGUCUAUAAAUGUGUGCUGAAAACACUACUGUUAGUGCAUUUGUUGGGGACUAUUUUCAGCGGUGGAUUAAUCCACAUUUGGUGCUCUAGUGAGUACUUGGGGCAGCAGGACGGUGUGUGUGGGAUUGUGAUCAGUAGAUCGGGAUUAAUGAUUAUGUUCUUACCACUGCGUGUUGAAUCAUAAUUAUUCUAAAUUGAGAGGCACGUGCUCACUAUUUGCAGUCAGCAUAAUGCCAUGCCAUUGUGAGCCAGGACUGGGACACUCAGUUUUUAUAGUCGAAUAUUUUAACUAUGACUUAGUUUUCGGUAAUGGCUCCUCAAGGCGAGGAAGAAAGCAGAGGCAGAGCAGGUGGCGUGUCAGAAUAAAUUAAAAAAAUGAAAAAGCUGAGUGAUUUCUGAUUCCCAGCAGCUUCAUUGUAAUGAACUUGAUGAACAAAACUUUAGUCAAAAUAUAAGACAGGUGUGGUUCAUUUGAAUUUCAAGGACUUUUUAAGCACUUUGUUAAGAAAGGGGCUAUUUUCAAGGUAUUCCAGUACUUGAUUUGUUUUUAAUACUACUAUACCAGCUGCAAUAAUAAAACAAAAUUCGAUCGUAUCGGCUUAUACGGCUCAUAGAUGAUCGCCAAUGGUAUCGGCAACAAAAAAACGUGAUCGGGGCAUCCCUACCAAGUACAACAGUGUGGCUCAUUCGUGUGUUUUUAAUAGUUUUUGGACAACAAUUAAACUUUGAUCUCAACAUAAAUGUAACAUCAUAACUUCAGAGUUACUGUGCUAUGAUUAUAUCUUGACAGGUGUCAGUUAAUUUGUCCGUGCCUGUCUAAGAUACAUCUGGUGCUGCUUUCAAACUAAUCUUGAAGUUAGAAAGAAAUCACUAAUGAAUAUACAAUAGUUCUUCAUAUCUUUUAUCAACAUCUUGGCUAAGUUCAGAUAUUGUGUAGAUUUUCAUUGUGAUAACUAUGUGAUUCUCAGUUGUCAACAUUAAAUUGCUGAUAUGUAAAGUCGGACUUUUGUGUUACUCUGUGUCAGUGGGUCAAACAGAAGACUGAAUGGACGAGGAAGAACAGUUGGGGUCAAACCUGACCUAAUGACAGCUGGAGAUCUUGACAAAAAUAUAUUAAGAUUAACUGUUUUAUGAAAGCACUCA